AUGGAAGGACGCGGCGAUUAUGUUGCGGGUGGCAGCCGCACGGAGGAGCAGAUGAGUAUACUGGUGAUUACGGUAGACCUGCAAUGCUGCCGCUGCAAGAAGAAGAUCAAGAAUGUCCUCGAGUGUCUCAAAGAGGAUUACUGCAUCGAGAAGAUUGAGUACGAGGACAAGGACAACAGGGUGAUCGUCCGUGGGAAAUUCGACGCGGACAAGCUCUGCAAAAAGAUCUGGUGCAAGGCCUGCAAGGCCGUCAAGGAGAUCGAGAUCGUAAAACAAUGGCCGCCACCGCCGCCGCCGCCGCCCCCAUGCCCAGACAAGCCAAAGAAACCACCAUGCGCAUGCACAUGCCCGCCUCCGCCUGACCCGCCAAAACCAUGCACAUGCACAUGCCCGCCUCCGCCCGAGCCGCCAAAACCAUGUCCAUGUCACCCGAAGCCAUGCCCGCCGGCUCCUGAGCACAAACCAUGCAAACCUGAGCCCAAACCAUGCCCGUCUGAGCCCAAACCAUGCAAACCUGAGGCCAAACCAUGCCCGGCUGAGCACAAACCAUGCAAACCUGAGGCCAAACCAACAUACAAGUUCGUGCCAUACCCGUACCCGGUGCCGUACCCUAUGCAGUGCCAGAGCUCGCCGUGGAACUGCCCUCCGCAGCAGUGUCACUGCUGCCCUGCCGAAAAGCCACCGGCCCCGCCGCCACCGCCUCCCCCACCGCCGCCGGACCCCCCCAAGCCGGAGCCCUGUAAGUGCUCGCAGUCGCAACACCCCUCUCACGGUGGCUGUGGCUGCGGCAAGCCGCCUGCUAAUUGCUGGCCGCCGCCCACCUGGCCGCCGCAGCAACCCUGCUUCAUGCCGCCACCAUGGUUCACGGAGGAGAACCCAUCGGAUGCCUGCUCCAUCAUGUGA
This 903-nucleotide ribosomal RNA is filed under the name Triticum aestivum (bread wheat). RNAcentral describes it as "partial small subunit ribosomal RNA". The record is from RNAcentral. Lineage: Eukaryota; Viridiplantae; Streptophyta; Magnoliopsida; Poales; Poaceae.